Molecule: unclassified non-coding RNA, 520 nt
Filed under: uncultured Glomus
Lineage: Eukaryota; Fungi; Glomeromycota; Glomeromycetes; Glomerales; Glomeraceae
Description: SSU rRNA
Rfam family: Eukaryotic small subunit ribosomal RNA
Source: RNAcentral
AGCAGCCGCGGUAAUCCCAGCUCCAAUAGCGUAUAUUAAAGUUGUUGCAGUUAAAAAGCUCGUAGUUGAAUUUCGGGAUCAAUACGUCGGUCGUGCUUCGGUACGUACUGGCGUAAUUGAUUUCUCCCUUCUGACGAACCAUGAUGUCAUUAACUUGGUGUCAUGGGAAAUCAGGACUGUUACUUUGAAAAAAUUAGAGUGUUUAAAGCAGGCUCACGCUUGAAUACAUUAGCAUGGAAUAAUGAAAUAGGACGUUCGAUCCUAUUUUGUUGGUUUUUAGGAUCAACGUAAUGAUUAAUAGGGAUAGUUGGGGGCAUUAGUAUUCAAUUGUCAGAGGUGAAAUUCUUGGAUUUAUUGAAGACUAACUACUGCGAAAGCAUUUGCCAAGGAUGUUUUCAUUAAUCAAGAACGAAAGUUAGGGGAUCGAAGACGAUCAGAUACCGUCGUAGUCUUAACCAUAAACUAUGCCGACUAGGGAUCGGAUGAUGUUAAUUUUUUAAUGACUCAUUCGGCGCCUUAC